GNNGUGGUGAAAUUGGUAUACACGCCAGACUUAAAAUCUUGUGGUAGCAAUACCGUGUGGGUUCGAUUCCCGCCAGCGGCACCA
Molecule: transfer RNA, 84 nt
Filed under: Candidatus Shapirobacteria bacterium
Lineage: Bacteria; Candidatus Shapironibacteriota
Description: tRNA-Leu
Rfam family: tRNA
About the family: Transfer RNA (tRNA) molecules are approximately 80 nucleotides in length.
Source: RNAcentral